RNAcentral lists this ribosomal RNA (460 nucleotides) under uncultured bacterium. Its description in RNAcentral is "partial 16S ribosomal RNA". It matches the Rfam family "Bacterial small subunit ribosomal RNA", at positions 338 to 795 of the family's 1533-position model. The record is from RNAcentral.
CCUACGGGAGGCAGCAGUGAGGAAUAUUGGUCAAUGGGCGCGAGCCUGAUCCAGCCACGUAGCGUGAAGGAUGACUGCCCUCGGGGUUUUAAACUUCUUUUAUAAAGGAAUAGAGUGAGGCACGUGUGCCUUUUUGUAUGUACUUUAUGAAUACGGAUCGGCUAACUCCGUGCCAGCAGCCGCGGUAAUACGGAGGAUCCGAGCGUUAUCCGGAUUUAUUGGGUUUAAAGGGAGCGUAGAUGGGUUGUUAAGUCAGUUGUGAAAGUUUGCGGCUCAACCGUAAAAUUGCAAUUGAAACUGGCAGCCUUGAGUACAGUAGAGGUAGGCGGAAUUCGUGGUGUAGCGGUGAAAUGCGUAGAUAUCACGAAGAACUCCGAUGGCGAAGGCAGCCUACUAAACUGCCACUGACAUUGAGGCUCGAAAGUGUGGGGAGCAAACAGGAUUAGAUACCCGUGUAGUC